GACAGCAGCAGCCGCGGGAAUACGUAGGUCCCGAGUGUUGUCCGGACUUAUUGGGCGUAAAGCGAGCGCAGGCGGUUAGAUAAGUCUGAAGUUAAAGGCUGUGGCUUAACCAUAGUACGCUUUGGAAACUGUUUAACUUGAGUGCAAGAGGGGAGAGUGGAAUUCCAUGUGUAGCGGUGAAAUGCGUAGAUAUAUGGAGGAACACCGGUGGCGAAAGCGGCUCUCUGGCUUGUAACUGACGCUGAGGCUCGAAAGCGUGGGGAGCAAACAGGAUUAGAUACCCCAGUAGUCCCUGUCUCUUAUACA
This 306-nucleotide ribosomal RNA is filed under the name uncultured bacterium. RNAcentral's name for it is "partial 16S ribosomal RNA". It matches the Rfam family "Bacterial small subunit ribosomal RNA", at positions 507 to 808 of the family's 1533-position model. The record is from RNAcentral.